CGUCCGUAGGAUGGGAUUAGAAUGUUAGUCGUGCGCCUCCUAGCCAUGAUGGAGGCGCGGCGCACAGCUCAGUAGCACAUGGCUAACCUGCCCUUGGGACGAGAACAACCCCGGGAAACUGGGGCCAAUUCUCGAUAGGUGAAGCUUCCUGGAAUGGAUUUUCGCCCAAAAGACGCUUAGGUCAUGCUUCUAGGCGUUGCCUAAGGAUGGGGCCGUGGCCGAUCAGGUUGUUGGUGAGGUAAUGGCUCACCAAGCCUAUAACCGGUGCGGGCCGUGGGAGCGGGAGCCCGGAGAUGGGAACUGAGACAAGAUCCCAGGCCCUACGGGGCGCAGCAGUCGCGCAAACUUCGCAAUAAGCGAAAGCUUGACGGGGCUAUCCCGAGUGCCAUCCGCUGAGGAUGGCUUUUCUCUAGUGUAGAUAGCUGGGGGAAUAAGGAGAGGGCAAGUCUGGUGUCAGCCGCCGCGGUAAUACCAGCUCUCCGAGUGGUGAGGACGAUUAUUGGGCCUGAAGCAUCCGUAGCCGGCUGGGCAAGUCCCCUGUUAAAUCCAACGAACUAAUCGCUGGCCUGCAGGGGAUACUGCUCGGCUAGGGGGCGGGAGAGGCCGUCGGUAUUCUUGGGGUAGGGGUGAAAUCCUAUAAUCCCAGGAGGACCACCAGUGGCGAAGGCUGUCGGCUAGAACGCGCUCGACGGUGAGGGAUGAAAGCUGGGGGAGCGAACCGGAUUAGAUACCCGGGUAGUCCCAGCUGUAAACGAUGCAGGCUAGGUGUUAGGGCGGCCACGUGCCGCUCUAGUGCCGCAGGGAAACUGUUAAGCCUGCCGCCUGGGGAGUACGGCCGCAAGGCUGAAACUUAAAGGAAUUGGCGGGGGAGCACCACAAGGGGUGAAGCUUGCGGUUUAAUUGGAGUCAACGCCGGG
This 917-nucleotide ribosomal RNA is filed under the name uncultured archaeon. RNAcentral's name for it is "bacterial SSU rRNA". It matches the Rfam family "Archaeal small subunit ribosomal RNA", at positions 28 to 922 of the family's 1478-position model. The record is from RNAcentral.